This is a long non-coding RNA of Nomascus leucogenys (northern white-cheeked gibbon), 1012 nucleotides long. RefSeq lists it as uncharacterized. NCBI's taxonomy places the organism in Eukaryota, Metazoa, Chordata, Mammalia, Primates, Hylobatidae. The record is from RefSeq and is a predicted model, not a curated record.
GAGUCCCCUGACAGCAUGGCUGUUUUUCAUUGUAGACCAAGAAGAUUUUGAAGUUUCAUCCUCAGAGUCAGGGUAACCUGAAAAGCCGAGACGGCACAACCAACAUGGAGCAUGUUCCUGAGAAAUUCCCAACUUUCCACUCAUCUCCAAACACCUUGAACUUUUCCAUCAAAAUUUUCCAGAUACAGCAAAGCUUCAAAGCACGAAAAAGAUGAACUCAAAACACCAGUGACCAGAGGAACCAUGACAACACAAACAAGAAGGAAACAAGAAAGAAAAGCAUAAUCCUGGUUUUUGUGUUCUGAAUUGUGGAUUUGAAAUUGAGGCUCCCGUGGCUGCUGACAGCCUGCCUUGAUGCUGCUGAUGUCUGGGUGAUGAACAGUCAUGGGUUUCCUCCCACCUGCCUCUGUGGAUUAAUGAAGAGCAAGGCAGGAAUGGCAGACCCGCCAUCUGGAAUGACCUUACCUGAUAAGAUUGUUCUGCCUUCCCCGCCAAAGGUGAGGAGGGCUUUCAGGAUGCAGGAGACUGUUUUCCCCACAACUUAAUGAGAAAAAUUGACCUGUUUAUUCACCAGCUGUCUUCUUUGUUUCUAAUCCAAGCAAUUGCUGCAAAAUCUUUUUCACUUCUUCCAUGUUGAAAUUGAGCAGAAAGCCCCUCGAGUGUGGCUUAUCUUUGGCAAACAACAAGGAAUCAGGUUGGAGGAUUCACACAGACUCGCUGGGAGACACAUGGAAUGGGAGACCAGCAAAUAUUUACACACUGUGUUCAAGAUCCAUUCUUAGAAGUGCGAGCAUAAUUUAUGUGACAUUUUGAGCACUGUGCCAGUGAGCGCCUUCUCUAUGUACAAAAUGUGCUACUUUAGUCAUGGCUGUAUCACUUUUGGUGGAGUGCAGCCUUUGUGAGUUUCAAUGGUAUGGCGGCCAUUUCUCUGGGGCAAGAGUAGACACCACCAAGGAAAGCCAUUGUUUUCCUGUGUGAGCUAGUGUUUUCUCUAUAAAGCUUGUAAAAGGGU